RNAcentral lists this ribosomal RNA (116 nucleotides) under Danio rerio (zebrafish). Lineage: Eukaryota; Metazoa; Chordata; Actinopteri; Cypriniformes; Danionidae. The record is from RNAcentral.
UCUAGUAGCUAGCUCUAUGCAACUCUCACAUGGUUGCCCACUGUUGCUAAGCAGGGCUGCGCCCAGUCAGUACCUGAAUGGUGGAACCACAUGGGAAAGCUUGGUUGCUGCCAGAA